UGAGGAAUAUUGGUCAAUGGACGCAAGUCUGAACCAGCCAUGCCGCGUGAAGGAUGAAGGCCUUCUGGGUUGUAAACUUCUUUUAUCUGGGAAGAAAAUUACGGUUUCUACUGUAACCGACGGUACCAGAGGAAUAAGCACCGGCUAACUCCGUGCCAGCAGCCGCGGUAAUACGGAGGGUGCAAGCGUUAUCCGGAUUUACUGGGUUUAAAGGGUGUGUAGGCGGGCUAUUAAGUCAGUGGUGAAAUCUCCGAGCUUAACUUGGAAACUGCCAUUGAUACUAUUAGUCUUGAAUUCUGUUGAGGUUGGCGGAAUAUGUCAUGUAGCGGUGAAAUGCAUAGAUAUGACAUAGAACUCCGAUUGCGAAGGCAGCUAACUAAGCAGAUAUUGACGCUGAGGC
This 400-nucleotide ribosomal RNA is filed under the name uncultured bacterium. RNAcentral describes it as "bacterial SSU rRNA". It matches the Rfam family "Bacterial small subunit ribosomal RNA", at positions 355 to 752 of the family's 1533-position model. The record is from RNAcentral.